GCCUGCGGGACGUCGGCUAAACACGGCCACGUCCUGUGGCCAACGCCGACACUAGCACGUCGUGUGCG
Molecule: small RNA, 68 nt
Filed under: Alteribacillus iranensis
Lineage: Bacteria; Bacillati; Bacillota; Bacilli; Caryophanales; Bacillaceae
Description: Bacillus sp. X5B(2010) Bacillaceae-1 RNA
Rfam family: Bacillaceae-1 RNA
Source: Rfam by way of RNAcentral